CACUAGUGAUUGGCAUGGAUUAGGCAUGCGAGUCGCGCGAGAAUGUAGCAAUACAGGACAGCGGCGAAAGGGAGAGGACAACAUGGGAAUCUGCCUUGGGGACGAGGAUAGCGUCGGGAAACUGACAGUAAUACUCGAUAAUGUUUGCGGACCAAAGGUGUGAUUCCGCCCCAAGAUGAGCCCGUGCCCCAUUAGCUAGUUGGCAGGGUAAUGGCCUACCAAGGCUGUGAUGGGUAGCUGGUGUGAGAGCACGACCAGCCUCACUGGCACUGAGACACUGGCCAGACACCUACGGGUGGCUGCAGUCGAGAAUCUUCGGCAAUGGACGAAAGUCUGACCGAGCGACGCCGCGUGCGGGAUGAAGGCCUUCGGGUUGUAAACCGCUGUCGUAGGGAAUCAAAUGCAUAGGGGUACUCCCUUAUGUUUGAGAGAUCCUAGGAGGAAGGAGAGGCUAAGCUCGUGCCAGCAGCCGCGGUAAGACGAGCUCUCCAAACGUUAUUCGGUAUUACUGGGCUUAAAGAGUUCGUAGGCGGCUCUGUAGGUGAGAUGUGAAAGCCCUCGGCUUAACCGAGGAACUGCGUUUCAAACCACAGGGCUUGAGGGAGAUAGGGGUAAGCGGAACAGAUGGUGGAGCGGUGAAAUGCAUUGAUAUCAUCUGGAACACCGGUGGCGAAGGCGGCUUACUGGGUCUUUUCUGACGCUGAGGAACGAAAGCUAGGGUAGCGAACGGGAUUAGAUACCCCGGUAGUCCUAGCCGUAAGCGAUGAGCACUAGUCUGAGGGACUCUCACAGUUCCUCGGACGUAGCGAAAGUGUUAAGUGCUCCGCCUGGGGAGUAUGGUCGCAAGGCUGAAACUCAAGGAAUUGACGGGGGCUCACACAGCGGUGGA
Molecule: ribosomal RNA, 889 nt
Filed under: uncultured bacterium
Lineage: Bacteria
Description: bacterial SSU rRNA
Rfam family: Bacterial small subunit ribosomal RNA
Source: RNAcentral